This 482-nucleotide ribosomal RNA is filed under the name uncultured bacterium. RNAcentral's name for it is "partial 16S ribosomal RNA". It matches the Rfam family "Bacterial small subunit ribosomal RNA", at positions 30 to 507 of the family's 1533-position model. The record is from RNAcentral.
AUUGAACGCUGGCGGCAGGCCUAACACAUGCAAGUCGAGCGGAUGAAGGGAGCUUGCUCCUGGAUUCAGCGGCGGACGGGUGAGUAAUGCCUAGGAAUCUGCCUGGUAGUGGGGGAUAACGUCCGGAAACGGGCGCUAAUACCGCAUACGUCCUGAGGGAGAAAGUGGGGGAUCUUCGGACCUCACGCUAUCAGAUGAGCCUAGGUCGGAUUAGCUAGUUGGUGGGGUAAAGGCCUACCAAGGCGACGAUCCGUAACUGGUCUGAGAGGAUGAUCAGUCACACUGGAACUGAGACACGGUCCAGACUCCUACGGGAGGCAGCAGUGGGGAAUAGUGGACAAUGGGCGAAAGCCUGAUCCAGCCAUGCCGCGUGUGAAGAAGGUCUUCGGAUUGUAAAGCACUUUAAGUUGGGAGGAAGGGCAGUAAGUUAAUACCUUGCUGUUUUGACGUUACCAACAGAAUAAGCACCGGCUAACUUCGUG